CUUCUUGUCUAGACCGGUGCUGUAUCUGCCCUGACCGCUGCUCAUAUCCCGACUCCCUGAUUUGUCCGACGUAGUGGACGCCUGUGGCGUCCGGUCAGGCAUUGCAUCUGUUUCUACAAUGGCUGGNNNNNNNNNGGUGCCUUACAUACAGCGAAGAGGCCGUGCGAGGGCUGUCUACGCCCGAACAAGCCCGCAUGCAGUUGUGCGGGCAUUUUCAGAUAUAACCCGACAUAUAUCG
RNAcentral lists this unclassified non-coding RNA (238 nucleotides) under Hevea brasiliensis (rubber tree). Lineage: Eukaryota; Viridiplantae; Streptophyta; Magnoliopsida; Malpighiales; Euphorbiaceae. The record is from RNAcentral.